Molecule: small RNA, 600 nt
Filed under: Myriospora dilatata
Lineage: Eukaryota; Fungi; Ascomycota; Lecanoromycetes; Acarosporales; Acarosporaceae
Description: eukaryotic LSU rRNA
Rfam family: Eukaryotic large subunit ribosomal RNA
Source: RNAcentral
GGUUGACCUCGGAUCAGGUAGGGAUACCCGCUGAACUUAAGCAUAUCAAUAAGCGGAGGAAAAGAAACCAACAGGGAUUGCCUCAGUAACGGCGAGUGAAGCGGCAACAGCUCAAAUUUGAAAUCUGGCCCUUGCAGGGUCCGAGUUGUAAUUUGUAGAGGAUGCUUCGGGUUCGGCUCCGGUCUAAGUUCCUUGGAACAGGACGUCRCAGAGGGUGAGAAUCCCGUACGUGACCGGCCGCCACGCCCGUGUGAAGCUCCUUCGACGAGUCGAGUUGUUUGGGAAUGCAGCUCAAAAUGGGUGGUAAAUUUCAUCUAAAGCUAAAUACUGGCCAGAGACCGAUAGCGCACAAGUAGAGUGAUCGAAAGAUGAAAAGCACUUUGGAAAGAGAGUUAAAAAGUACGUGAAAUUGUUGAAAGGGAAGCGCUUGCAACCAGACUUGCCCGCGGGUGAUCAGCCGGUAUUCUUACCGGUGCACUCGCCCGCGGUCAGGCCAGCAUCGGUUBGGGCGGUUGGACAAAGGCCUCCGGAAUGUAGCUCCUCUCGGGGAGUGUUAUAGCCGGGGGUGCAAUGCAGCCAGCCCGGACCGAGGACCGCGCU